GUGCCUGUCGCCAAUGAUGGAUUUUUGUUAAGAUGAAACAAAAUGAUUUUUACCUUAACAUUUCGUCACUACCACUGAGGCGACGUGUCU
Molecule: small nucleolar RNA, 90 nt
Filed under: Leptobrachium leishanense (Leishan spiny toad)
Lineage: Eukaryota; Metazoa; Chordata; Amphibia; Anura; Megophryidae
Description: Small nucleolar RNA SNORD70 (ENSLLEG00000015572.1)
Rfam family: Small nucleolar RNA SNORD70
About the family: snoRNA HBII-234 belongs to the C/D family of snoRNAs. It is the human orthologue of the mouse MBII-234 and is predicted to guide 2'O-ribose methylation of the small 18S rRNA on position A512.
Source: Rfam by way of RNAcentral